RNAcentral lists this ribosomal RNA (467 nucleotides) under uncultured bacterium. RNAcentral's name for it is "partial 16S ribosomal RNA". It matches the Rfam family "Bacterial small subunit ribosomal RNA", at positions 29 to 507 of the family's 1533-position model. The record is from RNAcentral.
ACGAACGCUGGCGGCGUGCUUAACACAUGCAAGUCGAACGGAAAGGCCCUGCUUUUGUGGGGUGCUCGAGUGGCGAACGGGUGAGUAACACGUGAGUAACCUGCCCUUGACUUUGGGAUAACUUCAGGAAACUGGGGCUAAUACCGGAUAGGAGCUCCUGCUGCAUGGUGGGGGUUGGAAAGUUUCGGCGGUUGGGGAUGGACUCGCGGCUUAUCAGCUCGUUGGUGGGGUAGUGGCUUACCAAGGCUUUGACGGGUAGCCGGCCUGGGAGGGUGACCGGCCACAUUGGGACUGAGAUACGGCCCAGACUCCUACGGGAGGCAGCAGUGGGGAAUAUUGCACAAUGGGCGGAAGCCUGAUGCAGCAACGCCGCGUGCGGGAUGACGGCCUUCGGGUUGUAAACCGCUUUCGCCUGUGACGAAGCGUGAGUGACGGUAAUGGGUAAAGAAGCACCGGCUAACUACGUG